UUCGGAACUCUAAAUUCUCGAGAGUUCCGAAAAUCAACUUCCGUUGAUCCUGAUCAUAACAACGUUUGUUUUCAUGGAAAAAAAAUAUGGCGACUAAGAAACACUUAAUGUCAACAAGAUUUUCUGAUUGACAAGAGAAAAGGUUAAACAGGAACUUCAAUUGUGAACAUUGCAGAGAACACACCCAUCAGAAGAUGACCCUCAGAAAUUGGACAAUUAAUGAAUGAAAAGGACAGAAGCAGAACUGAAGGAGAUGCAUGAAAUGAGGAAUAUUUCAAAGACUGCCUGAGCAUAACCUCUGCUACUGGAUAAACAUAUGGCAAUAUAAAAGAGCAGGGUCAAUGGAGGUAUCAUACAGUAUAGGCCAUGAGAGACUCUGAAGAAGAAAGUAUUGAACAGCAACAACAAUAAAACCAUUUUGACAUUU
Long non-coding RNA from Saccostrea cuccullata (small rock oyster), 427 nucleotides. RefSeq lists it as uncharacterized. The record is from RefSeq and is a predicted model, not a curated record. Lineage: Eukaryota; Metazoa; Mollusca; Bivalvia; Ostreida; Ostreidae. The transcript has 3 exons.